This 484-nucleotide ribosomal RNA is filed under the name uncultured bacterium. RNAcentral's name for it is "partial 16S ribosomal RNA". It matches the Rfam family "Bacterial small subunit ribosomal RNA", at positions 30 to 507 of the family's 1533-position model. The record is from RNAcentral.
AUUGAACGCUGGCGGCAGGCCUAAUACAUGCAAGUCGAGCGGACGAAGGGAGCUUUCUCUUGGAUUCAGUGGCGGACGGGCGAGUAAUUCCUAGGAAUCUGCCCGGUAUUUGGGGAUAACGUCCGGACACGGGCGCUAAUAUCGCACACGUCCUUAGGUUGAACGGCGGGGUUCUUCGGUGCUCACGCUAUUUGAUGUCCCUAGGUCGUAUUAGCUAGUUGGCUGGGUAAAGGCCUACCAAGGCGACGAUCCGUAACUGCUCUGAGAGGAUGAUCAGUCACACUGGAACUGAGACACGGUCCAGACUCCUACGGGAGGCAGCAGUAGGGAAUAUUGGACAAUGGGCGAAAGCCUGAUGCAGCCAUGCCGCGUGUGUGAAGAAGGUCUUCGGAUUGUAAAGCACUUUUAGUAGGGAGGAAGAGCAGUAAGUUAAUACCUUGCUGUUUUGACGUUACCAACAGAAUAAGCACCGGCUAACUUCGUG